ACAUGCAAGUCGAAUGGUAACAGGAAACAGCUUGCUGUUUCGCUGACGAGUGGCGGACGGGUGAGUAAUGUCUGGGAAACUGCCUGAUGGAGGGGGAUAACUACUGGAAACGGUAGCUAAUACCGCAUAACGUCGCAAGACCAAAGAGGGGGACCUUCGGGCCUCUUGCCAUCAGAUGUGCCCAGAUGGGAUUAGCUAGUAGGUGGGGUAACGGCUCACCUAGGCGACGAUCCCUAGCUGGUCUGAGAGGAUGACCAGCCACACUGGAACUGAGACACGGUCCAGACUCCUACGGGAGGCAGCAGUGGGGAAUAUUGCACAAUGGGCGCAAGCCUGAUGCAGCCAUGCCGCGUGUAUGAAGAAGGCCUUCGGGUUGUAAAGUACUUUCAGCGGGGAGGAAGGGAGUAAAGUUAAUACCUUUGCUCAUUGACGUUACCCGCAGAAGAAGCACCGGCUAACUCCGUGCCAGCAGCCGCGGUAAUACGGAGGGUGCAAGCGUUAAUCGGAAUUACUGGGCGUAAAGCGCACGCAGGCGGUUUGUUAAGUCAGAUGUGAAAUCCCCGGGCUCAACCUGGGAACUGCAUCUGAUACUGGCAAGCUUGAGUCUCGUAGAGGGGGGUAGAAUUCCAGGUGUAGCGGUGAAAUGCGUAGAGAUCUGGAGGAAUACCGGUGGCGAAGGCGGCCUCCUGGACGAAGACUGACGCU
This 705-nucleotide ribosomal RNA is filed under the name uncultured Pseudomonadota bacterium. RNAcentral describes it as "bacterial SSU rRNA". It matches the Rfam family "Bacterial small subunit ribosomal RNA", at positions 53 to 747 of the family's 1533-position model. Lineage: Bacteria; Pseudomonadati; Pseudomonadota. The record is from RNAcentral.